Molecule: ribosomal RNA, 253 nt
Filed under: uncultured bacterium
Lineage: Bacteria
Description: partial 16S ribosomal RNA
Rfam family: Bacterial small subunit ribosomal RNA
Source: RNAcentral
UACGUAGGGUGCGAGCGUUGUCCGGAAUUACUGGGCGUAAAGAGCUUGUAGGUGGUUUGUCGCGUUGUUCGUGAAAUCUCACGGCUUAACUGUGAGCGUGCGGGCGAUACGGGCAGACUAGAGUACUGCAGGGGAGACUGGAAUUCAUGGUGUAGCAGUGAAAUGCGUAGAGAUCAUGAGGAAGACCAGUGGCGAAGGCGGGUCUCUGGACAGUUCCUGACACUGAGGCACGAAGGCCAGGGGAGCAAACGGG